UGGGGAAUAUUGCACAAUGGAGGGAACUCUGAUGCAGCGACGCCGCGUGAACGAAGAAGGCUUUCGAGUCGUAAAGUUCUUUUAUAUGGGAAGAUAAUGACGGUACCAUAAGAAAAAGCCCCGGCUAACUACGUGCCAGCAGCCGCGGUAAUACGUAGGGGGCUAGCGUUGUCCGGAAUCAUUGGGCGUAAAGGGUUCGCAGGCGGAAAUGCAAGUCAGGUGUAAAAGGCAGUAGCUUAACUACUGUAAGCAUUUGAAACUGCAUAUCUUGAGAAGAGUAGAGGUAAGUGGAAUUUUUAGUGUAGCGGUGAAAUGCGUAGAUAUUAAAAAGAAUACCGGUGGCGAAGGCGACGUACUGGGCUCAUUCUGACGCUGAGGAACGAAAGCGUGGGUAGCAAACAGG
This 403-nucleotide ribosomal RNA is filed under the name bacterium. RNAcentral's name for it is "partial 16S ribosomal RNA". It matches the Rfam family "Bacterial small subunit ribosomal RNA", at positions 355 to 776 of the family's 1533-position model. The record is from RNAcentral.